AAGACCUUGCGCUUUUGGAGCGGCCGAUGCCUGAUUAGCUUGUUGGUAAGGUAAAAGCUUACCAAGGCUUCGAUCAGUAGCUGGUCUGAGAGGACGACCAGCCACACUGGGACUGAGACACGGCCCAGACUCCUACGGGAGGCAGCAGUGGGGAAUUUUGGACAAUGGGGGCAACCCUGAUCCAGCCAUGCCGCGUGAGUGAAGAAGGCCUUCGGGUUGUAAAGCUCUUUCAGCCGGAACGAAACGGUUACGGAUAACACCCGUGACUACUGACGGUACCGGAAGAAGAAGCACCGGCUAACUACGUGCCAGCAGCCGCGGUAAUACGUAGGGUGCGAGCGUUAAUCGGAAUUACUGGGCGUAAAGCGUGCGCAGGUGGUUUUGUAAGUCGGACGUGAAAGCCCCGGGCUCAACCUGGGAACU
Molecule: ribosomal RNA, 423 nt
Filed under: uncultured bacterium
Lineage: Bacteria
Description: bacterial SSU rRNA
Rfam family: Bacterial small subunit ribosomal RNA
Source: RNAcentral